UUACGGCCAUAUCACGUUGGAAGGCUGGUUCUCGUCUGAUCACCAAAGUUAAGCAACGUCGAGCCUGGUCAGUACCUAGAUGGGUGACCGCUUGGGAAUAAUGUGUG
RNAcentral lists this ribosomal RNA (107 nucleotides) under Acanthosepion pharaonis. Lineage: Eukaryota; Metazoa; Mollusca; Cephalopoda; Sepiida; Sepiidae. The record is from RNAcentral.